GGGUCCAUAGCUUAGUGGUAAAGCAUUUGACUGUAGAUCAAGAGGUCAUCGGUUUGAUCCCGGUUGGGCCCU
Molecule: transfer RNA, 72 nt
Organism: Vitis vinifera (wine grape)
Lineage: Eukaryota; Viridiplantae; Streptophyta; Magnoliopsida; Vitales; Vitaceae
Rfam family: tRNA
About the family: Transfer RNA (tRNA) molecules are approximately 80 nucleotides in length. Their secondary structure includes four short double-helical elements and three loops (D, anti-codon, and T loops).
Source: Rfam